RNAcentral lists this ribosomal RNA (62 nucleotides) under Ricinus communis (castor bean). RNAcentral describes it as "partial 5.8S ribosomal RNA". The record is from RNAcentral. Lineage: Eukaryota; Viridiplantae; Streptophyta; Magnoliopsida; Malpighiales; Euphorbiaceae.
UCGAGUUUUGACGCAGUUGCGCCCGAAGCCUUUCGGCCGAGGGCACGCCUGCCUGGGUGUCA